AUGGCGCCCACGUGGGUUGUGAGCAACUUGGCAAGUCAAACAAUAGCCGACGACUUUAGCUCCUACAACCACACAUGGUGGAGCAGAGUUGGCGGGAGGGAGGCGGAACCCAAGGUCGAAGAGGACGACCAAGAGCAGCUGAGCUUUGUCUUCUCCUCCGAAUCCAGCAUUCCAGCAAUGGACGGCUCGAGGGGCCCCGCCGGCUUCGCCACGCAGGCCAACGCCCUCCUCCGCAAGAACCUCUGCUUCCAGAAGCGGAACGUGAAGACGAACGUCUGCAUCACCGUCUUCCCGACCCUACUCUGCGUGCUGCUGCUGGUGAUGCAGGGCGUCAUCAACCGCGAGAUCGGCAAGCCGGAGUACCGCUGCGGCUGCGCGUGCGUCGACACGGCCGCCGACGGGAGCUGCCGGAGGACCGAGUGCGGCGUCCAGUACUCCACGCAGGACCAGGUCGCCACCUGCCCGGUCCCCAGCCCGCCGCGGUGGCCGGCCGUGCUCCAGCUGCCCCCGCCCGAGUCCAGGGCCGUCGGGACCGCCUCCCAGCCGCUCGACGGUUUGCCUAGCCCGGCUUGCCGGGACACCCGCUCUUGCCCCGCCGCGUUCCUCGUCACCGGAAGCAACCGCUCGCUCGCCCAAAGUCUUUCGGGUCAACUGUUCCCUGCUCUGACUUCGCCUUUGAAUUUCACUGACUAUCUACAUACACUCUCCAAGAUUGUUCCUGGCUCUGAAGUGCCGGCGUCGUUUAGACAGUUUUUAGAGCCAGCGUUUACUCCAGGGAAUACUCUGUAUAUUGUUCAACCUCGGUGUAGGUCCAAUUUCUCGCAAACAGUUUCAGUCGAUGCUGGGCCGAAACCCCUUAAACUCAAUGUAGACUGCAUUCAAGGUUUAUCGUUAUGGCGUGAAAGCGCAUCAGUUAUCAAUGACGAACUAUUUAAGGGUUAUAGGCAACAAAGAGAAAGUGGAGGAGGGAAGGCGAAUGAGUUUGCUGCAGGUUACGACUUCCUGAGUACAAAUACAGAUAGUCUUGAUAUUAGUAUUUGGUUCAACUCUACAUAUAACAACAAUACCGGAGUUUUUGAAAUGGCAUUAUUACGAGUACCACGCUUGGUUAACAUGGUGUCCAACGCAUACAUCAAGUUUCUCAGAGGAAGUGGAGCAGAAAUGCUGCUUGAAUAUGUUAAAGAUAUGCCUAAAGUAGGAUCAGAACUUAAACUUGACCUGUCUUCUCUUCUUGGUGCGCUAUUCUUCACAUGGAUCAUUGAGCUACUGUUUCCAGUUAUACUAACAUAUCUCGUGUAUGAGAAGCAACAAAAGCUGAAAAUUAUGAUGAAGAUGCAUGGUUUGAAGGCCGGUCCUUACUGGAUGAUAACUUAUACUUACUUCUUUGCUCUAUCAGCUCUCUAUAUGAUACUAUUUGUCACUUUUGGCUCCUUGAUAGGUCUGGGUUUCUUUACAACAAAUAAUUACAGCCUUCAGAUUGUUUUCUACUUCAUCUACAUAAAUCUGCAGAUUGCUCUCGCAUUUUUCGCAGCAUCGUUCUUUUCUUCUGUCAAAAUAGCCACAGUGGUUGGUUACAUCUAUGUAUUUGGUUCUGGUUUACUAGGGGCAUUUCUUCUGCGCUUUUUUAUCCAGGAUAAUAGUUUCCCGAAGGGUUGGAUAGUGGUGAUGGAGAUUAUCCCUGGAUUUUCACUUUACAGAGGGUUAUACGAGCUUGGUCAAUAUGCAUUCAUUGGAACUGCAAUGGGAACCGAUGGUAUGACGUGGACUAGUUUGAGUGACCCUGUCAAUGGAAUGCGUACUGUAUUGAUUAUCAUGGUUGUUGAAUGGGCAAUACUUCUCCCAUUGGCAUUUUAUUUGGAUCAAGUCUCAUUACUGGGUGGUGGACUCCGAAAAAGGUUGUUAAUCUUGUUGAAAUGCUUUAAGAAGCGAGCUGCAUCAUUACGGAUGUAUAGCUUUGGUCGGAUAGGAUCUAAAGUAAUAGUUGAAAUGGAGAACCCCGACGCGACUCAGGAAAGAGAGGCCGUUGAGCAGCUUCUGCUGGAACCCAAUGCAAAUUAUGCUAUUAUAUGUGAUAACCUAAAGAAGGUUUACCAUGGAAGGGAUGGAAAUCCUGACAAGCUUGCAGUUCGUGGGUUGUCUCUUGCCCUCCCGAAAGGCCAAUGUUUUGGGAUGCUUGGCCCAAAUGGGGCUGGGAAAACAUCCUUCAUUAGUAUGAUGAUUGGGCUCGUUCCACCUACGUCUGGCACUGCUUAUGUCCAUGGAAUGGAUAUACGUACUGAUAUGAACGAAAUAUACACAAAUAUGGGUGUCUGCCCACAACAUGACUUACUUUGGGAAACAUUGACGGGAAAAGAGCAUCUGUUGUUUUAUGGAAGACUAAAAAAUCUUAAAGGCGCUGAAUUGCUGAAGGCAACUGAUGAUUCUCUGAAGAGUGUUAACCUAUUCCGUGGUGGUGUCGGUCAUAAGCAAGUGGGGAAGUACAGUGGGGGCAUGAAACGGAGGCUUAGUGUCGCAAUCUCCUUAAUUGGAGAUCCCAAGGUUGUCUUCAUGGAUGAGCCGAGCACUGGACUAGAUCCAGCAUCAAGAAAUAGCCUGUGGAGUGUUGUGAAGGAAGCGAAGAAAAACCGUGCCAUCAUUCUUACAACACAUUCAAUGGAAGAGGCAGAGGUACUAUGUGAUAGACUCAGUAUUUUUGUUGAUGGUGGUUUCCAAUGCAUUGGAAAUCCGAAAGAGCUAAAAGCAAGAUAUGGGGGUACCUAUGUGCUCACAAUCACAACAUCUCCGGAACAUGAGCAGGAGGUUGAACAACUGGUUCACCGUUUAUCGCCAAAUGCAAACAGGAUAUAUCACAUAUCUGGAACACAGAAAUUUGAGCUGCCAAAGCAGGAGGUGAAGAUAGCAAGCGUCUUCCAUGAAGUUGAGAGUGCAAAAUGCCGUUUUAGCAUACACGCUUGGGGGCUCGCUGACACCACCUUGGAAGAUGUCUUCAUCAAGGUUGCCCAGGGAGCACAAGCCUUUAGUGUGAAUGCUUAA
Molecule: ribosomal RNA, 3033 nt
Filed under: Triticum aestivum (bread wheat)
Lineage: Eukaryota; Viridiplantae; Streptophyta; Magnoliopsida; Poales; Poaceae
Description: partial small subunit ribosomal RNA
Source: RNAcentral